AGAUCUGGAAGGCGGGUAACCGCUGGAGGUGACUGGUACUAAUAGGCCGAGGGCUUGUCCUCAGUUG
This 67-nucleotide ribosomal RNA is filed under the name Streptomyces sporangiiformans. RNAcentral describes it as "Streptomyces sp. NEAU-SSA 1 partial 23S ribosomal RNA". Lineage: Bacteria; Bacillati; Actinomycetota; Actinomycetes; Kitasatosporales; Streptomycetaceae. The record is from RNAcentral.